GGGCCGCUAGCUCAACCUGGUAGAGCAGCUGGCUUUUAACCAGCGGGUUAAGGGUUCAAAUCCCUUGCGGCCCG
Molecule: transfer RNA, 74 nt
Filed under: Candidatus Woesearchaeota archaeon
Lineage: Archaea; Nanobdellati; Candidatus Woesearchaeota
Description: tRNA-Lys
Rfam family: tRNA
About the family: Transfer RNA (tRNA) molecules are approximately 80 nucleotides in length. Their secondary structure includes four short double-helical elements and three loops (D, anti-codon, and T loops).
Source: RNAcentral